This is a long non-coding RNA of Cornus florida, 486 nucleotides long. RefSeq lists it as uncharacterized. The record is from RefSeq and is a predicted model, not a curated record. NCBI's taxonomy places the organism in Eukaryota, Viridiplantae, Streptophyta, Magnoliopsida, Cornales, Cornaceae. The transcript is spliced from 2 exons.
UUUUUUUUUUGGAAAGUGUUGUAAUGUUUCAAAUAUAUAUAUAUAUAUUGUUAGUUAAAGAAAAGAAAAAAAAAGAUAUUUAAAAAAAAAAACAAAUUGGUGGGCCCACAAUUGUUUUAAGUGAUCGUGAGACUAUCUUUUGGUCUUUUGGCCUCUAUUUCUUUAUUCUCUCGUCUCUCCCCCUGCUUGCUUCCCUGUGGUUUCUUUUUUCCCUUUUCUUUUUUUUCAUUUCAAAACUUAAAUCCUUGAUUCCUCUCUCAAUUCUUGGUAUUUUGAAAUAUCGUUUGCGACAAAUUAAAGCUCACGGCGAGACCUACAAGCUGAUAGGAGCAAUUCAUUGGUUGAUGCAUCAUGAGAAAUUCAAAAAUCCUAAGAUUUGAGGGCUCGGAAAAGAAGUGGCGGAUGACAAUCCCCCGCAAGCUUGAAGAAGAUUAGAAGUUGUAUUUUGUUAUCUUUUGUAUCUUAGUCCAUUUUUUUUUUUUUUUU